AUCAGCAGGUCUAAGCUCUCGAGCUUAGUUCUGGUGGUCAUGCUAGUAUGGCAUGUUUCAGAGAAGGGAGAGCAAAGACACAGUUUCGGAAAUGAGUCUAGGGGGGACCUCUUUCUUAAUGUCCAAUGUCCUAGGUCUCGAGAUUCUGUGAUACAGGU
This is a small nucleolar RNA of Colossoma macropomum (tambaqui), 158 nucleotides long. RefSeq annotates it as small nucleolar RNA SNORA81. The record is from RefSeq and is a predicted model, not a curated record. NCBI's taxonomy places the organism in Eukaryota, Metazoa, Chordata, Actinopteri, Characiformes, Serrasalmidae. The transcript has a single exon.